AGAUGACGAGCGGCGGUACGGGUGAGUAAUGCUUGGGAAUAUGCCUUAGGGUGGGGGACAACAGUUGGAAACGACUGCUAAUACCGCAUAACGUCUACGGACCAAAGGGGGCUUCGGCUCUCGCCCUUAGAUUAGCCCAAGUGGGAUUAGCUAGUUGGUGAGGUAAUGGCUCACCAAGGCGACGAUCCCUAGCUGGUUUGAGAGGAUGAUCAGCCACACUGGAACUGAGACACGGUCCAGACUCCUACGGGAGGCAGCAGUGGGGAAUAUUGCACAAUGGGCGCAAGCCUGAUGCAGCCAUGCCGCGUGUGUGAAGAAGGCCUUAGGGUUGUAAAGCACUUUCAGUAAGGAGGAAAGGUUAGUAGUUAAUACCUGCUAGCUGUGACGUUACUUACAGAAGAAGCACCGGCUAACUCCGUGCCAGCAGCCGCGGUAAUACGGAGGGUGCGAGCGUUAAUCGGAAUUACUGGGCGUAAAGCGUACGCAGGCGGUUUGUUAAGCGAGAUGUGAAAGCCCCGGGCUCAACCUGGGAACUGCAUUUCGAACUGGCAAACUAGAGUAUGAUAGAGGGUGGUAGAAUUUCAGGUGUAGCGGUGAAAUGCGUAGAGAUCUGAAGGAAUACCGAUGGCGAAGGCAGCCACCUGGGUCAAUACUGACGCUCAUGUACGAAAGCGUGGGGAGCAAACGGGAUUAGAUACCCCGGUAGUCCACGCCGUAAACGAUGUCUACUAGGAGCUGGGGUCUUCGGACAACUUUUCCAAAGCUAACGCAUUAAGUAGACCGCCUGGGGAGUACGGCCGCAAGGUUAAAACUCAAAUGAAUUGACGGGGGCCCGCACAAGCGGUGGAGCAUGUGGUUUAAUUCGAUGCAACGCGAA
Molecule: ribosomal RNA, 877 nt
Filed under: Pseudoalteromonas sp. R4M6
Lineage: Bacteria; Pseudomonadati; Pseudomonadota; Gammaproteobacteria; Alteromonadales; Pseudoalteromonadaceae
Description: bacterial SSU rRNA
Rfam family: Bacterial small subunit ribosomal RNA
Source: RNAcentral